RNAcentral lists this ribosomal RNA (395 nucleotides) under uncultured Alphaproteobacteria bacterium. RNAcentral describes it as "bacterial SSU rRNA". It matches the Rfam family "Bacterial small subunit ribosomal RNA", at positions 9 to 430 of the family's 1533-position model. Lineage: Bacteria; Pseudomonadati; Pseudomonadota; Alphaproteobacteria. The record is from RNAcentral.
GAGUUUGAUCCUGGCUCAGAACGAACGCUGGCGGCAGGCCUCAAACAUGCAAGUCUAGGGGGUGUAGCAAUACAUCACCGGCGGACGGGUGCGUAACGCGUGGGAAUAUACCUAUUGGUUCGGAACAACUGAGGGAAACUUCAGCUAAUACCGAAUGUGCCCUUACGGGGAAGGAUUUAUCGCCAAUGGAUUAGCCCGCGUCCGAUUAGCUAGUUGGUGAGGUAACGGCUCACCAAGGCUCCGAUCGGUAGCUGUUCUGAGAGGAAGAUCAGCCACACUGGGACUGAGACACGGCCCAGACUCCUACGGGAGGCAGCAGUUGGGAAUCUUGGACAAUGGGGGAAACCCUGAUCCAGCCAUGCCGCGUGAGUGAUGAAGGCCUUCGGGUUGUAAAC